This 23-nucleotide non-coding RNA is filed under the name Cricetulus griseus (Chinese hamster). The record is from RNAcentral. Lineage: Eukaryota; Metazoa; Chordata; Mammalia; Rodentia; Cricetidae.
AAUGGAAAGUGGGAACCAAUGGG